RNAcentral lists this ribosomal RNA (425 nucleotides) under uncultured bacterium. RNAcentral describes it as "partial 16S ribosomal RNA". It matches the Rfam family "Bacterial small subunit ribosomal RNA", at positions 355 to 774 of the family's 1533-position model. The record is from RNAcentral.
UGGGGAAUAUUGGACAAUGGGCGAAAGCCUGAUCCAGCCAUGCCGCGUGUGAAGAAGGUCUUCGGAUUGUAAAGCACUUUAAGUUGGGAGGAAGGGCAUUAACCUAAUACGUUAGUGUUUUGACGUUACCGACAGAAUAAGCACCGGCUAACUCUGUGCCAGCAGCCGCGGUAAUACAGAGGGUGCAAGCGUUAAUCGGAAUUACUGGGCGUAAAGCGCGCGUAGGUGGUUUGUUAAGUUGGAUGUGAAAGCCCCGGGCUCAACCUGGGAACUGCAUCCAAAACUGGCAAGCUAGAGUACGGUAGAGGGUGGUGGAAUUUCCUGUGUAGCGGUGAAAUGCGUAGAUAUAGGAAGGAACACCAGGGGCGAAGGCGACCACCUGGACUGAUACUGACACUGAGGUGCGAAAGCGUGGGGAGCAAACA